UACGUAGGGUGCGAGCGUUAAUCGGAAUUACUGGGCGUAAAGCGUGCGCAGGCGGUUCCAUAAGACAGAUGUGAAAUCCCCGGGCUUAACCUGGGAACUGCGGUUGUGACUGUGGGACUAGAGUGUGGCAGAGGGGGGUGGAAUUCCACGUGUAGCAGUGAAAUGCGUAGAGAUGUGGAGGAACACCGAUGGCGAAGGCAGCCCCCUGGGUCAACACUGACGCUCAGGCACGAAAGCGUGGGGAGCAAACAGG
This 253-nucleotide ribosomal RNA is filed under the name uncultured bacterium. RNAcentral's name for it is "partial 16S ribosomal RNA". It matches the Rfam family "Bacterial small subunit ribosomal RNA", at positions 524 to 776 of the family's 1533-position model. The record is from RNAcentral.